GAUGAACGCUGGCGGCGUGCCUAAUACAUGCAAGUCGAGCGAACGGACGAGAAGCUUGCUUCUCUGAUGUUAGCGGCGGACGGGUGAGUAACACGUGGAUAACCUACCUAUAAGACUGGGAUAACUUCGGGGAACCGGAGCUAAUACCGGAUAAUAUUUUGAACCGCAUGGUUCAAAAGUGAAAGACGGUCUUGCUGUCACUUAUAGAUGGAUCCGCGCUGCAUUAGCUAGUUGGUAAGGUAACGGCUUACCAAGGCAACGAUGCAUAGCCGACCUGAGAGGGUGAUCGGCCACACUGGAACUGAGACACGGUCCAGACUCCUACGGGAGGCAGCAGUAGGGAAUCUUCCGCAAUGGGCGAAAGCCUGACGGAGCAACGCCGCGUGAGUGAUGAAGGUCUUCGGAUCGUAAAACUCUGUUAUUAGGGAAGAACAUAUGUGUAAGUAACUAUGCACAUCUUGACGGUACCUAAUCAGAAAGCCACGGCUAACUACGUG
RNAcentral lists this ribosomal RNA (497 nucleotides) under uncultured bacterium. Its description in RNAcentral is "partial 16S ribosomal RNA". It matches the Rfam family "Bacterial small subunit ribosomal RNA", at positions 28 to 507 of the family's 1533-position model. The record is from RNAcentral.